This 799-nucleotide ribosomal RNA is filed under the name uncultured bacterium. RNAcentral's name for it is "bacterial SSU rRNA". It matches the Rfam family "Bacterial small subunit ribosomal RNA", at positions 636 to 1435 of the family's 1533-position model. The record is from RNAcentral.
UNUGACUCGAGUGCAGAAGGGGAGAGUGGAAUUCCAUGUGUAGCGGUGAAAUGCGUAGAUAUAUGGAGGAACACCAGUGGCGAAAGCGGCUCUCUGGUCUGUCACUGACGCUGAGGCUCGAGAGCGUGGGUAGCGAACAGGAUUAGAUACCCUGGUAGUCCACGCCGUAAGCGAUGAGUGCUAGGUGUUAGGCCCUUUCCGGGGCUUAGUGCCGGAGCUAACGCAAUAAGCACUCCGCCUGGGGAGUACGACCGCAAGGUUGAAACUCAAAGGAAUUGACGGGGGCCCGCACAAGCGGUGGAGCAUGUGGUUUAAUUCGAAGCAACGCGAAGAACCUUACCAGGUCUUGACAUCCCGAUGCUAUUCUUAGAGAUAGGAAGUUACUUCGGUACAUCGGAGACAGGUGGUGCAUGGUUGUCGUCAGCUCGUGUCGUGAGAUGUUGGGUUAAGUCCCGCAACGAGCGCAACCCUUAUUGUUAGUUGCCAUCAUUAAGUUGGGCACUCUAGCGAGACUGCCGGUAAUAAACCGGAGGAAGGUGGGGAUGACGUCAAAUCAUCAUGCCCCUUAUGACCUGGGCUACACACGUGCUACAAUGGUCGGUACAACGAGUUGCGAGCCGGUGACGGCAAGCUAAUCUCUGAAAGCCGAUCUCAGUUCGGAUUGGAGGCUGCAACUCGCCUCCAUGAAGUCGGAAUCGCUAGUAAUCGCGGAUCAGCACGCCGCGGUGAAUACGUUCCCGGGCCUUGUACACACCGCCCGUCACACCACGAGAGUUUGUAACACCCGAAGUCGGUGAGG